This is a non-coding RNA of Heterocephalus glaber (naked mole-rat), 6545 nucleotides long. The record is from RefSeq and is a predicted model, not a curated record. NCBI's taxonomy places the organism in Eukaryota, Metazoa, Chordata, Mammalia, Rodentia, Bathyergidae.
UGACUGGGCGAAGGACCAGGCUGAGACUGAUUAGGUCGUAUUCUUGACCUCGUUUCCAUGUUUCCGUGAACGCUGUCUGAGCGGGUUUCAGAACCUGCUCUGCCCCUCGAAGCUGCCUGAGGUGCGCAUCAUGUCUUGCUUUGGUUGUCUGUGGUCACAUACAUUCUGCUGAGUUUAAUUUGACUAAAGGACAAGGAUAAGGAAUUUUCCUUUCAGCAGUUUUGCGUGGUCAGCGGGGUCUGACCUGGAAGCAUCCAGUCACCGAGCACAAAGACUUCGGAGCCCGCGGUGCUGUUUUUUGUGGCAGCUGGGGAUUGUGGUUUGCUACUUAGACAGCUGUUGAAAACCAACCUGAGACUUCAGAUUCAUUCUAAUUUCCUACAGCUUACCGUCAUUGAUAAUUCCGACCAAGAGUAAAACAUCAGACUAUACUGACACUUCAUAAAGCAACGGAAGACUACAUACACAUCAAUGAGGUCACUGUUGUUCAUUACGGACAUCUGGCGUUGGCAAAAUGUUAUCAAAAACUGCUAAGUUUCUGAAAUUUUUAUUUGAAAAGAGUCUUCGAAUAUUGAGGUUUUUGCUGUUGCUGAGCUGAAACUGCAAUGCUCUUCAUCAGAACUGCAAAUGACGGGCUGCUCCCUGGCUUUGCAAGCCCCACUGUGUUAUAAAGACCUGGUCCAAGCCUCCUCGCUCUUUUCCAGCCCUUCCUCUAGGCUACAUACCAUGGCACUUAAAUUCUACUUCCAACAGCUUUGCUUUUGAUUUGACACUAUGAUCAAAGCUGAUAAACUUCUGAAGUAAGACAGGAAAGACAGACUUUUAUCAAAAGCAAUUUUAUAAACACAACUAUAUGCAAAUUUACAACAGCAAAAAGUGUGCAGGUAGGCCAGGGAUUUAGCUCAGUGAUUCCACUGCCUGCCUUGCAAGCACAAGGUCCUGAGUUUGAUCCCUGGUACCAAAAAAAGAAAAAACAAGUGUGCAUAUACCAAGCUGACUAAAGAAAUUACACUGGGUUGUGACAGGCCACCUGUGUCACCUAACAUCUGCGAUGAGGCCAAACUGAAAUCACGUAAAAGGAAAAAAUAUCCAUUUGGUCUUCAAAGUUUAUUUUAAUGAUUUAUGAGUUAAAAACUAUCUUUUAGGGGGAGAAAAAGCUUAUAUACUGUAAGCGAAAAAAACUGAUGUGGGUCCAAAAAGCAUAGAAGAAAGAUGUCACUAUUUUCUCUUAAUUUGUCGCUGGAUUUCAAAGAGACAUGGGAAACAAGAAAUGUGGGGACUGUAGCAAAUGUAAGUACAGGAAAAUAACUGGUAGGCAUGGAGCCAUCUGGAGUGAGUUAGUGGAGGGAAGAAGCUGGAGAGUGCUGAGGACCACACUCCGAUUUCCAGCAGGCUCGGCUCACAGAGGGUUCUACCAAGCGCCAGCUCCUCUGCUCCCCUUGCCUUUCCCGGAGCAAGCUGAGACGUGUUUGCCAUUUCCCCCAAGAAGGGUCACCCACAAGGAAUCAGCCCUAAUCAGCAGAUCGUUCUGAAAAGAUUGCUUGUGGCUAUGAGAGAAAAUAGAGUCCUGGAUGGGAAAGUCAGGAGACUCGGCCAAAGGACGUGGGUUCAAACCUACAUCUUCACUGUCCUAGACUGCAAGUCAUUUCACCUUUCCGAGCCUCAGCCCUGCACUCUGAAAGGCAGGUGUCAGCUCCUACAGGAUGGCCUGUCAGGUAAGACAGUCAGAAGGAGAGUGUUUAAAGACAGGUGCUGAGGGGAAACAUCUCUGCAACAGAAAAGGAUAUGCUGAAUAAGACAGAUGCUUACUUUAUAGAAAUUUUAAAAUAGAAAAUAUAAAUAUACUAAAAAUAGGAAAAAACUAAUGACACAAAUAACUUGGGAACUGGUCAGUGUAUUGGAAAAACUAAAGCACCGUUUUAUAUAUAGCUGGGGGAACAAUUUGUAUCGAAGUUAUUUGUCUUGAAGUCAAGCCUACAAACAUCUGAGGUUUAUAAAGUAAAAUACAGGUUAUUUUCUUCUUACUGAUUCAUGAACUUUUAAUAAUCUGUUGCCUAAUUACAUUAAUAAGGUAACAAGCCUUAAUAAAUUAAACAUUGACAAUGUGGCUGAAUAUCCAUUUCCCUCAACUAUGUCAGAGGCUUUUAACAUGUGUCCUGAGGCUGUACUUUAGCUAGAGAGAGCUGCUGGGGUAUUGAAACUAGCUGUUUGAAUUUUUUUCCAAAAACUUCCUCUACUUCUUUUUCUAAUUUGAAAUGAUCUCCCAAAGCAUUUUUGGUGCUCAAAUACAUUGAAAACGCUGCAUAUUCAAUUGCAUAUCUCCCCCAAUAGAUUCCCAGUGCACAUUAGCCAAAAAAUGGUGCCACGAAGCUCUGUGGUAUCAUUUCUCUAACAUCUGACCUGCAUCUCUGUUUCCUGAAUGGUUCUUAAUAUCCACUGGGGUUGCUGCCCAUCCCUCCACAUUCUGGGAACUGCAACAUUUCCCCUCAAAUGAGGGAUGAGGAGGGAGUGCCAAUUUUUUGUGCUGAGAACAUGAAAAAAUCAACUACAGUUUUAUGAAACAAAGACUAAAAUGAGUGGAAUCCUUUGGAAACUGCAAAGGCUCUGCUGAGAGAUGUAAGCUAAUUUUACAAUGAUGCCUAAUCAGUUGCCUAGAGAGAGAAAAUAAAUGGCCACUAAUGAAAAAGAGCUGCCUUUCCCACAAGGGGAAAAAAAAAAAUCUAAUCUCUUACUUCAUCCAUGAGAAGGAACCAGCCUGGAAUUUCUGAAACAACCUGCCCCGCAUACCACACUCUCUCAGCAGCCUCCACCAAGGCCACUGAGCCCACUGGGGACAACAGGUGUGGCAGUUUCCAAGGCUCUGCCACCUUCCUUCUGGGUCUCUUCUUCCCCUGAGAAGCCACUUCCUUGCUGAGGGACUACAGGCAGCAAGGGCUCUUUGAACCCCCUGGGUACAUAAUUCUCAGCCUUUUUACCACACUACCCACCUGCAUGCUUACACAGGAUAAGGCAAGGCUCUCAGUAUAUUGUAAACUAUAAUUAACAGGAUAAAAUAUUGAUUUAGCAGCUGUUUGAGUGGAUUUUUAUGUUAGACAUUCAUUUUGCAUCUAAUAAUAAUUUUAUUUUUAUUCCCAGCCAACUCAGAACUAUGCCGUUUGUUCAUUAACAAUGAGUGAGCAGUGGGACCGUGGUGGUGAGCGGACUUCUUGGGACUAAGGGCCCAGAGAGGGGGAUUUAUGGGUAGUCUCGAAAGCACCAAAACGGCACCUUUCAUCCCAGGGGCUAAGCUCUGUGGACAUCAAAUGUGGAUCUGAAAUUUUCAGCAUAUCUGGGGGGCACACCCAGAGGUAAAUAGGUCCCACAGUUGGAUAGUCCCUGGUCUGUGGCUAAGCAACCAUACGCUGCAUGUGCAUAAGUGGGAAAAGAAGAUCUGGAAAAUUUUCAACAGAGGCCAAAGGAGCCAAUGACAGUGUUGUAUAAGAGAAGGAAAUCCUGCAUUGCUCUCUGAUGCACUGUGGUCGAAUGUGAAAAGGAGGUCUGGGUCUUGCAAUGCUUGGUCCAGAAACUAUGACAUGUGUUGGGGCAGGAACCAGAAGACCAGAGACAACUAGUGACGACAUUGUAUUAAAAAGUUGUCUCUCUUCAAAACUUCACAUUUAAUUCCCUUUCCUCCGGUUAUGUAUGGUGUGAGUUUUGAAAAUGAAGAUUAUUUUCUACCAAUAUGAAGGUACUGUAAACUGAUUAGAAUAUUUAAAACACUAGUUCUAAUCUGUCAUGUGAUAGUUUUAUUUUGUUUCUUGUGUUUAUUACACAUUACUAAUACAUUCUUUCAACACUACUCAAAAACCCUUCUCUAUUGUGCUGUGAAAUGUUUUUCACAUAUUAAUCUUUUUCAUAUGUUAAACUCUUUUCACAUUUGAAACUCUUAUACAAAAUGGGCUUGAAAUUGUGUUACUUUAUACUAAAACCUACAUCAGUCCUUACACAAUCCGCAUCAUUUCUUUGUUUACGGGGACCAAAAUUAAAAAUAAAGCUACUUACUUAGAAGAUAAACAGUUUCUUCUACAAAGUUUCUCUGUUGACAGAUUUCAAGAGCCUUCAAAUGAAGCAAGGUAAAAAUGUCACUAUGGGCUACCAGACAAGAACAAAUAUUGAUAGAGUCACUUAACAAGCUUGAAAAUGUGUUUCCAUGCUUUCCUUUAACAACAAAAGCAAGCAAAAAGGAUAAAUCUCCGUGGCUCUUGCUGCUAGCCAUACUCAUUUACCUCACAGAGAAUUCCUGAACCCCACACACUUUAACUGAUAAGGUACUUACAGCAACAAAGAACACAUUAGAUGAUCAAAGGCAGAAAAUAAGAUGCUGAGAGGAAGUGCUUUUCCUGCUCUGCUUUCUCUUCAUAUUACUUUAACUUUAGAGCAUUGCUUUCCAUCAAAUGUAGUCAUUUGUUUAAAAUGUUUCCUUCCAUUACAACAUAAGCUCCAAGAAAGGAAUGCUGUUCACAGUAACAUUUUCCUGAUACUGAGCAGGACCAUCUGCUCUGUAAACUUAAGUUGCAUGCAUGCAUGAGUGAAUGAAUAAGUCAAUCAAUCAAUCAUUCAAUCUACUGGGAAUAUUUCUGUUGCCAGCUCAUAGGGUGUGAGAACACUGUUCGUGGAUCUUUGAAAAUCAACAGGGAAGAUGUAUCUGAUCAUCACGAAGGAUCAAAAAAGAAGAUCCAGUAAAGAAAUGAGGACUAGGCCGAUGACAGUUUUCCCGUGGAUGUAAGAGAGGGCACCUCAUGUGUUGAUAACUCAGUACCUCCAAACAAACUGAUGCUCAUUUACUAUGUGCUCUGUGCUAGAGUGUCAAGUUACACAGAUACGAAAGUGACAUCAAUAAUAAAAAUAGGGAUGAUGACAGGUGAGUAGAGAACAAGAGGAGGCACAGAGGAGGAGCAGAGGCAGACUGAGUCCACCCAGGGGCAGCAGGGAGGGUGACAGAGAUGUGACCACACAUUGUUCCACAAUCAGCAGAACAUGAGGGACGACACAGAGAAGGGAAAUGAUUGUCUUGCAAGAAGCUCCAGAGGAGAGAUGGCACCUGAAUUGGAUGCUGUCCCACAAGCACAGAGGACCUUGCAGCCCCUCUACAUGACUUCUCAGGGCUAAGUAUCUUCACAGUGAGCCACAGCUCCACACUGCGUUCCCAAACAGCGGCUUGAUCCUAAGCCUUCCCUCUUCCUGCCUACGGGACACAGCUUCAUCGCCAGCCUCCAUCAUGCAGCAACUCACUGAAUUUCCCUUUGCUGGGAAUGCGUGCACGCUGAGCCUAUGCUUUGCCUCAUGCCUGGCCCACAGCAGGUGUGCAAUAAAUCUUUUUUUUAAUGAAGGGUCAGUAAAGGUUUCCAGAGCAAGGUGCCUAUUACAUAUUGAGGAGUAGUCAUUUAAAAACAUCUAGCCAAGAUGGUUUUAAAAACAAGAAUCAAAAAGAACAGCUCAAGUUAAUUAGCUCUGCUCAGCGAUCUAUCUUGGGAAAUAACAGCAGGAACUGAUUUUGAUAUUUUGAUUUUUGACUUAAAAUUCUUCCUGGAGGCUAUAUAUUUUAAACUAGCUAUAGGGCAGGAAAAAGGCUGAUCACAGAGAUCAGUGUAGCAAAAAAAAGGGAAAAAGAAAAGCAAGCAUCACUGUAAUUUAGAAUUGGAAGGAAACCAGGAACGUUUUACAGUCCACACAUCAUUUAGAUUAGAAGGAAUAACUGAAGGUCCCAAGGAGGAAGAAACACAUCAUUUGAUGACUUUACAAGAUCCCUUUAAACAUCAGGUGGUAGAAACAGAAUGAAGAGACCCCUACAGAAUGGGAAAAAUUUUUUUCCAGGUACUGCUCAAAGAACUGCUAUCUAGAAUAUAUAAAGGACUCAAAAAAUGGGCAUCUGAAAUGAACAGACAUUUCUCAGAUGAACAAGUGCCAAAAGCCAAUAAAUACAUUAAAAAAUGUUCAACACUGUUGGCCAUUCAGAAAUGCAAAUUAACAUUCAGUUUCCAUCUUAAGAAAGAACAGCUAUCUUCAAGAAAUCUACCAAUAACAUGCUGAAGAGGCUGCAGGGGAAAAAGGAACCCUUCUUCAUUGCUGGUGGGAAUGUAAACUGGCACAAUCCUAUGGAAAACAGAAUGGAGAUUCCUCAAAAGACUAAAACUAGAAAUUCCUUUUGACCCAGCUAUUCCCCUUCCAGUUAUCUGCCCAAAAUACUUAAAGACAUCAUGUCACAGUGAUGUAUGCAUGUCCAUGUUUAUAGCAGCACAAUUCAUAAUAGCUAAGCCUUGGAAGCAGCCUAUAUGUCCAUCAACAGAUGAAUGGGUAAAGAAAAUGUGGUAUUUAUACACAAUGGAGUUCUACUCUGCCAUAGAAAAGGAUAAACUAGUCAUUGGUAAGAAAAUGGAUGCAUCUUGAGACUACAAUGUUAAGUAAAGUAAAUAAGACACACAAGCUUAAAUAUCUCAGUUUCUCUUAUAUAAGAAAUCUAAUAUAUAAAGUGCAAAAUAAAGACAGACAAUAGGAAAAAAGAGAAA